AAUGAACGCUGGCGGCGUGCUUAACACAUGCAAGUCGAACGAGGUCGCAAGACCGAGUGGCGGACGGGUGAGUAUAACAUGGGCAACCUGCCCUUCAGUGGGGGAUACCUAGCCGAAAGGUUAGCUAAUACCGCAUACGGUGCGGCCUUGGAAUAGGUCGUACGAAAGAUUUAUCGCUGAAGGAUGGGCUCAUGGUCGAUUAGCUAGUUGGUGAGGUAAUGGCUCACCAAGGCGACGAUCGAUAGCUGGUCUGAGAGGAUGAUCAGCCACACUGGGACUGAGACACGGCCCAGACUCCUACGGGAGGCAG
RNAcentral lists this ribosomal RNA (310 nucleotides) under uncultured cyanobacterium. Its description in RNAcentral is "bacterial SSU rRNA". It matches the Rfam family "Bacterial small subunit ribosomal RNA", at positions 29 to 351 of the family's 1533-position model. Lineage: Bacteria; Bacillati; Cyanobacteriota. The record is from RNAcentral.